This 464-nucleotide ribosomal RNA is filed under the name uncultured bacterium. Its description in RNAcentral is "partial 16S ribosomal RNA". It matches the Rfam family "Bacterial small subunit ribosomal RNA", at positions 29 to 507 of the family's 1533-position model. The record is from RNAcentral.
ACGAACGCUGGCGGCGUGCUUAACCCAUGCAAGUCGAACGGAAAGGCCCCUUUGGGGGUACUCGAGUGGCGAACGGGUGAGUAACACGUGAGUAACCUGCCCUUGACUUCGGGAUAACUUCAGUAAACUGGGGCUAAUACAGGAUAGGAAUCCUUGCUGCGUGGUGGGGGUUGGGAAGCUUCGGCGGUUUUGGAGGGGCUCGCGGCUUAUCAUCUUGUUGGUGGGGUAGGGGCUUACCAAGGCUUUGACGGGUAGGCGGCCUGGGAGGGCGACCGGCCACAUUGGGACUGAGAUAAGGCCCAGACCCCUACGGGAGGCAGCAGUGGGGAAUAUUGCACAAUGGGCGGAAGCCUGAUGCAGGAACGCCGCGUGCGGGAUGACGGCCUUCGGGUUGUAAACCGCUUUCAGCAGGGGCGAAGCUUGUGGUGACGGUACCUGCAGAAGAAGCACCGGCUAACUACGUG